ACUCAUGUCCUACGUCCCGUCCCCCUUAUAAAUAUAGCUCGAUCCUAGCCCUCUUCGUUCAUUGCACACCUUGUGAGGCAAAGAACUUAGCUUAGCAUUUUUUUUCUAUAGCUUUGUAUAGGCUUUUCUUCGUCUAGAUUCUGAUUCAUACUGUAAAUUAUCAGUACAGGAGAAUCUGUAAAGCUCAGGAGGGAUAGCACCAGCCAUGUAGUACUCUAACGAUGAUCAUCAUGUUAGGGUGUGAUCAGUACUGGUGCUAUCUAUCCUGAGUUGCACGGGUUCUUCUUACUUUCUCUGGUGUAUAGCGAUUGCUAGCUGCUCCGAUGAUCAGUGGUCUCGAUCGGCUCCGAUCGAGGAUAUUGAUCGGAUAUUUGAAAUCUGGGUCUAUAUAAUACUUUAUUUUCUAUUUUAUUAUGCUCAACACUAUAUGCUUAUUCUUAAAGACAGAAACUUGGUUUUUAUUUUUAUUUUUUUUAUUUGUGUUUUUUAAAUAGCUAUAUAUGUUCGUUUUCUUCCAGCUUCGUGUUGCUGGGAUGGGUUAAUUUAAUUGUUUGAUGGUCGUUCUCACUCCUCAUACUGUCAUACUCAUAUUUUUUGAAGUCUUUUAAAUAUAAAUUCUGGGACCUGCAUAUAAUUAAGAUGGGUUACUCUGGAUGGAUCGAUGUGUAUCUUCUGUAUCACGAUUAUGAGUUACAUCUGUGAUUAUUUAUGUUGGGAAAAAGCUGGUUUCAUUAGUACCAUAUAUGCACUUGUUCUGGGUAUAAUUUUAGGGAAUUGGAACAUAUGGCAACAGAAAUGAUCUGGUCCUUCUAUCCACUUGAUCAUACCCAACCACCGCUCCUUAAUUACUUUACUUGAAUCUAGUCUGCAUGCGUGCCAAUUUGCUGCUGGAUCUCAUUUCUCAUACUUCUAACUGUUGCUGGUAUUUUUUGGUCAAUUAUUCUUUGAGAUUUGGAAUGACUUGUUUUUUACAUGGCUAUUGAUCCUGACUUCUUUUGGUUUCCUAAUAUUUCAGGUUUACCAUCAAGAGUAAUCUGAAGUUUCCUCCAGAAGAUGAUCCUAACUCGUUGUGCCUGGAUUUAAAUUCCUGCUUAAAUUUCUCUUUAUCAAAACUUUGGAACUUAUUGAAGUCUAAUAUACUUUUUCUGUUCUUUUAGCUAGUAUUUAUUAAGCGUCAGUUUGAAACCCUAGGUGAGAGCGUUUCAAAUAAUUGAAGCUGAGCUAGGGUUUCAUGUUUGACUGAAAGUUUUGCAGGCUUUUGACUGGUGGGUAUCAGGCAACUGUAGAUAUUUGCUCCUUUCCAACUCCGUUCAGAACGCAUGCAGUCCUUUCACUUUCAUUUCUACAUUAUCUUGUUCAUCAGCAUCAUUAUUGCCUGUGCAGAGCAAAUCUGAUGCAACGUACCGGAUCGUCUGCUCUGGGCCUUGUUGCAAAGCGUUGAGAUUUGAGAAGCCUGACCUAACUUUAGGGUACAUGUUAUCAUUACUGUUUGGGGACAGAGAAAGCAAUCACUUGUAAUAGAUCAUUGAACCUUCUGAUAUUAUGAUUGUAUCUUUAUCCUCACAUGGUAAUGUGCUUGAACAGGAACCCCGACUUAUUUCGAGGUUUUUGAAAAGAUUUGCUUCUAAAACAACCUCAAAAAGUUCUAUAUAACUUUUAAGAAUUGCUGUGGAA
Carya illinoinensis is the source of this 1674-nucleotide long non-coding RNA. RefSeq lists it as uncharacterized. The record is from RefSeq and is a predicted model, not a curated record. The transcript is spliced from 2 exons. NCBI's taxonomy places the organism in Eukaryota, Viridiplantae, Streptophyta, Magnoliopsida, Fagales, Juglandaceae.